This 225-nucleotide long non-coding RNA is filed under the name Elaeis guineensis (African oil palm). RNAcentral describes it as "long non-coding RNA (EGUI_LNC010194)". The record is from RNAcentral. Lineage: Eukaryota; Viridiplantae; Streptophyta; Magnoliopsida; Arecales; Arecaceae.
UCGCCAUCUGACCAAAUAUCACUGAUAGCCUCAACUCAAAUGGAGAAGAUCUGAUCAUCCAAAAUUCUCUCAAUCUGAUCGUGUUUUACUGAUAUUUUGGCUGGUGGACACUCAAGGACAGGCUCGCUCUUAAAGAUUGGUUCAAGCUUCAACGACUCACUAGGUAUCUGAGUUGGCUCUUUACAGAUGAUGAGAUCUGUAAUGUUAAAAGUAGAGCUAAUCCCA